AAGAUUGCUGACCUAAGAUUAAUGACCGAACAACUUCACUGUCGUUUCACACAUAUUAGACUUCAGUCACCAUCAGCCAUUUCAUCUCGACGUUUGCUAUGGCAGCAGAUCAUCCUGUAUCUUUAAUUCCUCUCCUCAUCAUCUGGAACACAGGGCUCAGUGCUGAGAUCUCUGUGUCUGUGCAGACUGGAGAGUCUGUUCAGCUGGAUAUACAGACACAACAACUACCAGAGUUUGAUGAUUUCUUAUGGAUUAAUGAUGAAUCAGGGAAUAUAGUUAAAUAUUCUAAUGAAUAUAAGAAGAUUAAAACUUACCCGUCCUAUCAGAACAGAAUAGAGUUUAAUGAAACAAGCUUUUCUCUGACACUGAAAAACAUGCAGAAGGCAGACGGUGGACGAUACACAGCAAGAAUAAGUGGAGAAUUAAACAAAGACAUUGUUGUUUACACAGUGUCUGUUAUAGACGCAGUGGAGGCUCCUGUUCUGACUGUAAACUCAAACAGCAGUGACUCCUGUGCUGUUAACUUCACGUGCAGAGCUCAAGACCUCAUCAUUAAAUCUACCUAUCAGAACAACCAAUGCUCACCAGAGGAAGUGACGUCACAGGAGAACUACACCCUCACCCUGUCAUUACACUGCAGUGAGGAAUCGGUCAUCUGUAACUACAGCAAUCCUGUCAGCUGGAAAAAAGACGAAAUGGAGAUUAAACCACCCUGUGGAGGGAAUGAACGAAGUGUGUUUAGUUCAACAUUUCCAUUGCUCCACAUUAUUCCUCUCACUGUGAUCUCAGUGGCGGUGAUCGGGUUUUGUGGUUUGAUUCUUUAAUUCUGCAGGCAUAAAAAGGUGUCAAACAGGCUGAAGAUUCAGACUACGAUGAUGUUGAGUCUUUGACCCAGAAGAUGACAGGAGACACAUGGACCACCAUCACCUACUGUACAGCAGGACAAAAACAAACCCCUUCAUCUGCUCAUGACUGAUGAAUAUCAGAAGAGUUAAAUAAUCAGUCAGUCACUGCAGAUCUUAUUAAAGGGAGAGUUCUCAUAGUUUACUCUCCCUCAUAUGGUCUUAAACUGGUUUUAAUCAGUGUCUAUCAUUAUUUACUCACAUUUAGUUUGAGUUUCUUUCUUCUGUUGAACACAAAAGAAGAUAUUUUGAAAAAUGCUGGUUAAUGUAUCCAUUGACUUCCAUAUAGGAAAAAAUACCAGCAUUAUUCUUUUGUGUUCAACAGAAGAAAGAAGCUCAAAUAGUUUUUGAACGAGUGAAGAGUGAGUAAAUAAUGCCAGAGAUAUCAUUUUUUGGGUGAACUAUUCAUUUAACCAGUGUUUUUUACUUCAAUCAUGUAUUUUUAAUGUGUUUUAAUCAUGUUUUGACAUGCUGUUUGAAUUAUUUUAAUACCUUUCAUUUUCAAAAGCAUUUAAUAUCACAAAUGAACUAACCUGGGUUUAUUAAACAAGUUAAAAAAUAAACGUUUUACUGAAAGCAGUUAGUCAGUUCUUCGCUGAGCUCUAUAAUAGCCAUCUAUUAGUAUUCUUACUGAUGGCAUCUUUGUGGUAUGGCUGAUUAUUCCACUGGAAGUCACCCUUAUUAGAUGGGUUCACUGCGCUCAUGAAAGUAAUGCUCAGUCAAUUUGGUCAUUUAAAAUGUGAAAUAAAAAAACCCUCACAGCAUUUCACCAUCAGCAGCCUGAACACCUGAUAUAAGGCAGGGUGAUCCAUGCUUUCAUGAGAUUUACAUCAAAUUCUGACACGACCAUCCAGAUAUUGCACAUGAAAUGGAGAAAUUACAGCUAGCUACAUUUGUCCAGCAGGGGAAUAACAGUGAACUGAGCUGGUGAGAAAGUGCUUUUGCACACAUAUCUAACGUCCUGUUACUAUAAACACAUCAUCAGUCAUCUUGAUGUUUGUUACAAUGGCAGUGGAUUAUCUGCUUGUGUCCUUC
Danio aesculapii is the source of this 1937-nucleotide RNA transcript. It is a transcript of the gene named CD48 antigen, with no coding region annotated. The transcript has 6 exons. Lineage: Eukaryota; Metazoa; Chordata; Actinopteri; Cypriniformes; Danionidae. The record is from RefSeq and is a predicted model, not a curated record.